GGCUCUUUGUUAAAUAUACAUAAAGAGUCGGGCCUGCCCAGUGAUAAUAUAUUUAACGGCCGCAGUACCCUGACUGUGCAAAGGUAGCAUAAUCAUUUGCCCUAUAACUGAGGGCUAGUAUGAAUGGUUUAACGAGAACAUUACUGUCUCUAAUAAAAUAUAUAUAAAUUAAAUUUUAGGUGAAGAUGCCUAAAUUAAACUAAAAGACGAGAAGACCCUAUUGAGCUUAAAAUACUUAUAGAAAAAUCUAGACAGUUUUUUUGGUUGGGGCGACCUAAGAACAUUUAAAGCUUCUUUAAUUAAUUAAUACCUUAUAUGAUGAUCCGUUAUAAACGAUUAACAAAAUUAGCUACCGUAGGGAUAACAGCGUAAUUCUUUUUGAGAGCUCGUAUCAAAAAAAAAGUUUGCGACCUCGAUGUUGGAUUAAAAUAUCCUAAAGGUGCAGUCGCUUUUAAGGGUUGGUCUGUUCGACCAUUAAAAUUUU
RNAcentral lists this ribosomal RNA (484 nucleotides) under Setia subvaricosa. RNAcentral's name for it is "partial 16S ribosomal RNA". It matches the Rfam family "Bacterial large subunit ribosomal RNA", at positions 1816 to 2597 of the family's 2925-position model. Lineage: Eukaryota; Metazoa; Mollusca; Gastropoda; Littorinimorpha; Rissoidae. The record is from RNAcentral.